This 253-nucleotide ribosomal RNA is filed under the name uncultured bacterium. Its description in RNAcentral is "partial 16S ribosomal RNA". It matches the Rfam family "Bacterial small subunit ribosomal RNA", at positions 524 to 776 of the family's 1533-position model. The record is from RNAcentral.
UACGAAGGGGGCUAGCGUUGCUCGGAUUGACGGGGCGUAAAGGGCGCGUAGGCGGUUUGCAUAGUCAGACGUGAAAUUCCUGGGCUUAACCUGGGGGCUGCGUUUGAUACAUGCAGGCUUGAGUUCGGAAGAGGGUCGUGGAAUUCCCAGUGUAGAGGUGAAAUUCGUAGAUAUUGGGAAGAACACCGGUGGCGAAGGCGGCGACCUGGUCCGAUACUGACGCUGAGGCGCGAAAGCGUGGGGAGCAAACAGG